This 465-nucleotide ribosomal RNA is filed under the name Vreelandella stevensii. RNAcentral describes it as "partial 16S ribosomal RNA". It matches the Rfam family "Bacterial small subunit ribosomal RNA", at positions 338 to 795 of the family's 1533-position model. The record is from RNAcentral. Lineage: Bacteria; Pseudomonadati; Pseudomonadota; Gammaproteobacteria; Oceanospirillales; Halomonadaceae.
CCUACGGGUGGCAGCAGUGGGGAAUAUUGGACAAUGGGCGAAAGCCUGAUCCAGCCAUGCCGCGUGUGUGAAGAAGGCCUUCGGGUUGUAAAGCACUUUCAGUGGGGAAGAAAGCCUUGGGGCUAAUACCCUCGAGGAAGGACAUCACCCACAGAAGAAGCACCGGCUAACUCCGUGCCAGCAGCCGCGGUAAUACGGAGGGUGCGAGCGUUAAUCGGAAUUACUGGGCGUAAAGCGCGCGUAGGCGGUCUGAUAAGCCGGUUGUGAAAGCCCCGGGCUCAACCUGGGAACGGCAUCCGGAACUGUCAGGCUAGAGUGCAGGAGAGGAAGGUAGAAUUCCCGGUGUAGCGGUGAAAUGCGUAGAGAUCGGGAGGAAUAACAGUGGCGAAGGCGGCCUUCUGGACUGACACUGACGCUGAGGUGCGAAAGCGUGGGUAGCAAACAGGAUUAGAUACCCUGGUAGUC